GAUGAACGCUGGCGGCGUGCUUAAUACAUGCAAGUCGAACGAAUUGAAGAUGUGCUUGCACAUCUGAUGUUAGUGGCGAACGGGUGAGUAAUACAUAGGCAACUUGCCCCAAGGACUGGGAUAACACUUAGAAAUGAGUGCUAAUACCGGAUAGGUAAUACAAAGGCAUCUUAGUAUUAUUAAUGUUGGGUAUCCAACACCAUGGGAUGGGCUUAUGCUGUAUUAGCUAGUUGGUGAGAUAAAAGCCCACCAAGGCGAUGAUACAUAGCUGGUCUGAGUGGAUGAACAGCCACAUUGGGACUGAGACACGGCCCAGACUCCUACGGGAGGCAGCAGUAAGGAAUUUUCGGCAAUGGAGGAAACUCUGACCGAGCAACGCCGCGUGAGUGAUGAAGGCCUUCGGGUUGUAAAGCUCUGUUGUAAAGGAAGAAUGUAUAGAAAAGGAAAUGUUUCUAUAGUGACGGUACUUUACUAGAAAGUCACGGCUUACUACGUGCCAGCAGCCGCGGUAA
RNAcentral lists this ribosomal RNA (512 nucleotides) under uncultured bacterium. RNAcentral describes it as "partial 16S ribosomal RNA". It matches the Rfam family "Bacterial small subunit ribosomal RNA", at positions 28 to 523 of the family's 1533-position model. The record is from RNAcentral.